This is a long non-coding RNA of Daucus carota subsp. sativus, 1797 nucleotides long. RefSeq lists it as uncharacterized. The record is from RefSeq and is a predicted model, not a curated record. The transcript has 2 exons. NCBI's taxonomy places the organism in Eukaryota, Viridiplantae, Streptophyta, Magnoliopsida, Apiales, Apiaceae.
GGAUACUCACAUUUAUUGCAAUCUCCGCACUUCUCCCAGUUCAUCAUUACAUUGAAGUCACCACUUACCGCCGUUCGCCAACUCCCCCAAGUGUUAUAAACUCUCUCCUCGGAGACGCUCAAACAAUAGAUUAUACAGAACCGGUUGUUCCAUAUGAGCCGGUUCGACCCAUAGAUUGGUAACGCAUAUUAGUAAUGCGUUUCAGCAGCCUUUUAGAUCAAGCCUUGUUUGCAAACUCCCUCGCCUUAUCUUCCAAAGUUCUCGCUGAAGCUCGGCGAUGGCUGACUGGACCGGACCCGCUACACGUCUGUGGGACCGGUAUUAUCUGUUCCACACCAACGUCCACGUGGCGCCCACGAUUUUUAAUGCCUUGUAUUUGAUUGCAAUAUUGUUCAUACUCAACUUCGUUAGGAUCUCGGUUCAGAUAGCAAUCAUAUAUAUAGCUAGCUUUCUUCCGGGGGGUGCACAAAGUUGGAAAGCUACCUGGGCAGUAGGUGUUGCAAUAUUUGCCACUAGCUAUUACUGCAUGAAGGCCUGUGUGGAAACUAAGAGAGCUCAAGCCCCCGAGCAAAUACUGGACCCUCCAACAAGAAAAAAUAAAUAGAAUUUGGUAUGGUACUGAAGUUCUUGUUAAUUCUUCUGAUAUCCGUAUCCACUACUACUAGCUAGACCCGGCAAUUGUGUCAUGUUUUGCGUACUUUCUUGUCGUGUACUUUCAUGUUUACCAAAACACGACAUGAAUUGAAUUCUUGUCGUUUUGUAUUAUGUGCGUAAAUAUAUUUUUACUCUAAAAAAUUAUUUUAAUAUUACUUUCUUUAUUAUAACAUGAUAUUUAAUACUAUCUUUUUCCCAUCCAUUUUGUUUUACAGUCUUUUCCUCACUGCUUGGCACACAUUUUAAGGCUCUUGUAAAAUAUUUUUCAAACUUUCUUUUUUUGUAUGAAAGUUUAAAUAUUAAACUUUUAUUUAGAAGAAAAAAAGUUUAAUAUAAUUUAUGAAACUAUAUUUUACUUGAGCCUUAAAAUGCUUGUUAAACCCUUCCCCUCCAAUGUAAACAAUUGGAGGGGACUGAAGGAGUAUCAUAAUAUUAAUUAUAUAUUCCAUUUAAAACAUUUAAUAUAUUUAUACUCUUAAAGUUUCAAAAUUCUGCUCGUUCUUUAUCCUAUAAGAUUAUGAUCUUUUACAAUAAACAUAUAAUAAGAAAUCGAUGUAUAUAUACAUACACACAUACAUGUAUCUAUAUUUCAUGUAUUUUCGUGUCCUUUGGUGUUGGUGUACCUUCUCUUGUACACAGAAGUCCAAACCCAAACACUAAAGUCUUGCGUUGUGUACAUUGCCGGAUCUACUGCUAGCAUAAAAAAAUUGUGUAAGAGGAUCCGUAACUGUAAACUUGAUGGAUUGCAUAUGGAAACAUAUGAAGCUUGUCCUCAUCAAUACCAUUCUUCUUUUCGUAUAUUGUGCUGGAUUAACUACAUCUCCACAGAUGAUUUAAGAUCAUCGGCUGGAAAAAGGCAGAAGAGAGUGGUUCUUAAUAAGUAAGUGGUUGAAUUUAUAAGAACUUGUCUGUUUCGUAAAUAGAAUUAUGUGUUUAUGUGUCCUUUUAUAAAUGUUGCAUAUAUCAAUUCUGUGUAAUUAUGUAGUGAAUUGUUGUGCUGAACCAUGGCCUGCACAUGUGAGAAUUCAGCAAAGUUUGUAAGCUUACUGCUGUAGUUUUUUUAUACAACCAGUCAUUGUAUGAACUGCAGACUAUUGUAAAGUUGGCUAAAAGUUUAUAGACGACUGCUUUUGUACUUUUCUA